CCUACGGGUGGCAGCAGUGGGGAAUAUUGGACAAUGGGCGAAAGCCUGAUCCAGCCAUGCCGCGUGUGUGAAGAAGGCCUUCGGGUUGUAAAGCACUUUCAGUGGGGAAGAAAGUCUUGGGGCUAAUACCCUCGAGGAAGGACAUCACCCACAGAAGAAGCACCGGCUAACUCCGUGCCAGCAGCCGCGGUAAUACGGAGGGUGCGAGCGUUAAUCGGAAUUACUGGGCGUAAAGCGCGCGUAGGCGGUCUGAUAAGCCGGUUGUGAAAGCCCCGGGCUCAACCUGGGAACGGCAUCCGGAACUGUCAGGCUAGAGUGCAGGAGAGGAAGGUAGAAUUCCCGGUGUAGCGGUGAAAUGCGUAGAGAUCGGGAGGAAUACCAGUGGCGAAGGCGGCCUUCUGGACUGACACUGACGCUGAGGUGCGAAAGCGUGGGUAGCAAACAGGAUUAGAUACCCGAGUAGUC
Molecule: ribosomal RNA, 465 nt
Filed under: Vreelandella stevensii
Lineage: Bacteria; Pseudomonadati; Pseudomonadota; Gammaproteobacteria; Oceanospirillales; Halomonadaceae
Description: partial 16S ribosomal RNA
Rfam family: Bacterial small subunit ribosomal RNA
Source: RNAcentral